RNAcentral lists this ribosomal RNA (2494 nucleotides) under Campylobacter jejuni. Its description in RNAcentral is "partial 23S ribosomal RNA". It matches the Rfam family "Bacterial large subunit ribosomal RNA", at positions 1 to 2345 of the family's 2925-position model. The record is from RNAcentral. Lineage: Bacteria; Pseudomonadati; Campylobacterota; Epsilonproteobacteria; Campylobacterales; Campylobacteraceae.
AAAAAAGGUAAGCUACUAAGAGCGAAUGGUGGAUGCCUUGACUGGUAAAGGCGAUGAAGGACGUACUAGACUGCGAUAAGCUACGGGGAGCUGUCAAGAAGCUUUGAUCCGUAGAUUUCCGAAUGGGGCAACCCAAUGUAUAGAGAUAUACAUUACCUAUAUAGGAGCGAACGAGGGGAAUUGAAACAUCUUAGUACCCUCAGGAAAAGAAAUCAAUAGAGAUUGCGUCAGUAGCGGCGAGCGAAAGCGCAAGAGGGCAAACCCAGUGCUUGCACUGGGGGUUGUAGGACUGCAAUGUGCAAGAGGUAAGUUUAGCAGAACAUUCUGGAAAGUAUAACCAUAGAGGGUGAUAGUCCCGUAUGCGAAAAACAAACCUUAGCUAGCAGUAUCCUGAGUAGGGCGGGACACGAGGAAUCCUGUCUGAAUCCGGGUCGACCACGAUCCAACCCUAAAUACUAAUACCAGAUCGAUAGUGCACAAGUACCGUGAGGGAAAGGUGAAAAGAACUGAGGUGAUCAGAGUGAAAUAGAACCUGAAACCAUUUGCUUACAAUCAUUCAGAGCCCUAUGUAGCAAUACAGGGUGAUGGACUGCCUUUUGCAUAAUGAGCCUGCGAGUUGUGGUGUCUGGCAAGGUUAAGCAAACGCGAAGCCGUAGCGAAAGCGAGUCUGAAUAGGGCGCUUAGUCAGAUGCUGCAGACCCGAAACGAAGUGAUCUAUCCAUGAGCAAGUUGAAGCUAGUGUAAGAACUAGUGGAGGACUGAACCCAUAGGCGUUGAAAAGCCCCGGGAUGACUUGUGGAUAGGGGUGAAAGGCCAAUCAAACUUCGUGAUAGCUGGUUCUCUCCGAAAUAUAUUUAGGUAUAGCGUUGUGUCGUAAUAUAAGGGGGUAGAGCACUGAAUGGGCUAGGGCAUACACCAAUGUACCAAACCCUAUCAAACUCCGAAUACCUUAUAUGUAAUCACAGCAGUCAGGCGGCGAGUGAUAAAAUCCGUCGUCAAGAGGGAAACAACCCAGACUACCAGCUAAGGUCCCUAAAUCUUACUUAAGUGGAAAACGAUGUGAAGUUACUUAAACAACCAGGAGGUUGGCUUAGAAGCAGCCAUCCUUUAAAGAAAGCGUAAUAGCUCACUGGUCUAGUGAUUUUGCGCGGAAAAUAUAACGGGGCUAAAGUAAGUACCGAAGCUGUAGACUUGCACACAACUUAGAUUAUUUAAGUUUAGAAUAUGAGAAACUAAGUUAUAUGUUUAGUUAUAUUUUUACUGAUUUUUAUAGAGUAAAGAUAGAAAUAAAACUUAGUAAAAUCAGUAAAAAUAUUCUUAGACUAAAGUUAAGUAGUUUAAGUUGUGUGCAAGUGGUAGGAGAGCGUUCUAUUUGCGUCGAAGGUAUACCGGUAAGGAGUGCUGGAGCGAAUAGAAGUGAGCAUGCAGGCAUGAGUAGCGAUAAUUAAUGUGAGAAUCAUUAACGCCGUAAACCCAAGGUUUCCUACGCGAUGCUCGUCAUCGUAGGGUUAGUCGGGUCCUAAGUCGAGUCCGAAAGGGGUAGACGAUGGCAAAUUGGUUAAUAUUCCAAUACCAACAUUAGUGUGCGAUGGAAGGACGCUUAGGGCUAAGGGGGCUAGCGGAUGGAAGUGCUAGUCUAAGGUCGUAGGAGGUUAUACAGGCAAAUCCGUAUAACAAUACUCCGAGAACUGAAAGGCUUUUUGAAGUCUUCGGAUGGAUAGAAGAACCCCUGAUGCCGUCGAGCCAAGAAAAGUUUCUAAGUUUAGCUAAUGUUGCCCGUACCGUAAACCGACACAGGUGGGUGGGAUGAGUAUUCUAAGGCGCGUGGAAGAACUCUCUUUAAGGAACUCUGCAAAAUAGCACCGUAUCUUCGGUAUAAGGUGUGGUUAGCUUUGUAUUAGGAUUUACUCCGAAAGCAAGGAAACUUACAACAAAGAGUCCCUCCCGACUGUUUACCAAAAACACAGCACUCUGCUAACUCGUAAGAGGAUGUAUAGGGUGUGACGCCUGCCCGGUGCUCGAAGGUUAAUUGAUGGGGUUAGCAUUAGCGAAGCUCUUGAUCGAAGCCCGAGUAAACGGCGGCCGUAACUAUAACGGUCCUAAGGUAGCGAAAUUCCUUGUCGGUUAAAUACCGACCUGCAUGAAUGGCGUAACGAGAUGGGAGCUGUCUCAAAGAGGGAUCCAGUGAAAUUGUAGUGGAGGGGAAAAUUCCUCCUACCCGCGGCAAGACGGAAAGACCCCGUGGACCUUUACUACAGCUUGACACUGCUACUUGGAUAAGAAUGUGCAGGAUAGGUGGGAGGCUUUGAGUAUAUGACGCCAGUUGUAUAUGAGCCAUUGUUGAGAUACCACUCUUUCUUAUUUGGGUAGCUAACCAGCUUGAGUUAUCCUCAAGUGGGACAAUGUCUGGUGGGUAGUUUGACUGGGGCGGUCGCCUCCCAAAUAAUAACGGAGGCUUACAAAGGUUGGCUCAGAACGGUUGGAAAUCGUUCGU